This 361-nucleotide ribosomal RNA is filed under the name uncultured bacterium. RNAcentral's name for it is "bacterial SSU rRNA". It matches the Rfam family "Bacterial small subunit ribosomal RNA", at positions 28 to 387 of the family's 1533-position model. The record is from RNAcentral.
GAUGAACGCUAGCGGAAGGCCUAAUACAUGCAAGUCGAACGGAUAUAUUUACUUCGGUGAAUAUGUUAGUGGCGCACGGGUGAGUAACGCGUACACAACCUACCUUACAUUGGGGGAUAGCCCUGGGAAACUGGGAGUAAUACCGCAUAAUAUUAUUUGAAGGCAUCUUUGGAUAAUUAAAGCUGAGGCGAUGUAAGAUGGGUGUGCGUCUGAUUAGGUAGUUGGUAGGGUAACGGCCUACCAAGCCGACGAUCAGUAGGGGGUGUGAGAGCAUGGCCCCCCCACACGGGUACUGAGACACGGACCCGACUCCUACGGGAGGCAGCAGUAAGGAAUAUUGGUCAAUGGUGGGAACACUGAA